RNAcentral lists this long non-coding RNA (1398 nucleotides) under Ananas comosus (pineapple). RNAcentral's name for it is "long non-coding RNA (ACOM_LNC005740)". Lineage: Eukaryota; Viridiplantae; Streptophyta; Magnoliopsida; Poales; Bromeliaceae. The record is from RNAcentral.
AAAAUUAAACCAAAAAGUAAUAUUAGAGAGAGAGAGAGAGAGUGAGAGGGAAGAGAGAGCGGAGAGACGACAGUUUUAAUUGGAGAGUAAAUACAUGCCCCCUGGACAAGAGGCCAUGUGAGCCCAUGUGUGCGUAUGUGUUGGGAUAGAAAGAAAUAUAGAGAGAGAGGGAAGAGAGAGGGGAUAAAAAAUUGGCACGUACAUGGCCUAUGGAUAUAGAGUCCAUGUGGAACCAUGUGGAAGUGAAGAGAGGCCAUGAGAGAGAGAGAAAACUCAUAUAAAAAAAUGACGACGUGGCUCGACAGAGGGACGUCGUUUGGUUUCUCCUUUAGUAUAGACUUUUAUUUAUCUGGUCAAGUCAGCAGUUCUCAACAUGUAUCUUGUUGGUUUUUAGAGUUUAAGUUCAUCUUUGAAUUUAAGUAUGUCACUGCUAUGACAAACAUGGCAUUCAAUUUCCAUACCGGCUGUGCCGAUCUAAAUUUUUUUUUCAGAUGAGAUUGCUCUACAAUUCACAGCAGAUAUUUACUUGGGUGCGCUUCUAACCUCCCCGAGUAUUGCCUCGUCACAUUAUGCUGGAAGAGAAGAGAAAAAAAAAGAAAAGAAAUGUCAACUGUGCCAAAGAAAUUAGAAGACACAAUAUAAAAUAUUCACAGUAACUUAAACUUUAGAUUUAGAAAAAAACAGGCGAUGUGGCUUAACGACGGAACACCGUUUUUCGACGAACUAUUUUUCUUCACCAAAAUCAAAACAAAUUUAGCGAAAAAUUUCAUCCGAAAAAACUAAAAUAUAAAUAGCCCGACAAUGUUAAAGCAACGUAAAAUAAUUAGAAUAAUUAAAACUUCAAAUUUAAAAAAACAGGCGAUGCGGCUUCACGAUAGAGUGUCAAAACAAAUUUAGCGAAAAAAUAGUUCAACGAGCUAUUUUUCUUCACCAAAAUCAAAACAAAAGAGAGCAAACAAAUUUUCUGUUUCUCUUGACCACCCUGUUACUGCUUCACUCUCUCAUUUUUUUUUUCCUUCUUGAAUUCCUUUGUGUUUGCGUGUCUUGGGUUAGGAGAAAAUCUAGAGAGAGAGAGAGGGAAGAGAGAGGAGAGAGAUCAUGACAAUUUUAAUUGGAGAGCAAAUACAUGUCCCCUGGACAAGAGGUCAUAUGAGUCCAUGUAUGCGUGGGUGUUGGGAUAGAAAGAAAUGUAGAGAGAGAGGGGAGUGAGAGGGGAUGUAAAAUAGGCAGGUACAUAGCUUAUGGAUAUAGAGUCUAUGUGGGACUAUAUGAAGGGAAGAGAGGCCAUGUGAGAGAGAGAAAACUCAUAUGAAAAAAUGACGACGUGACUCGACGGAGGGACGUCGUUUGGUUUCUCCUUUAGUAUAGAGUUUAAUUAUAAGGUAAAUUUCACCGGUC